GUCCAGACUCCUACGGGAGGCAGCAGUGGGGAAUAUUGCACAAUGGGGGAAACCCUGAUGCAGCAACGCCGCGUGAGUGAAGAAGUAUUUCGGUAUGUAAAGCUCUAUCAGCAGGGAAGAAAAUGACGGUACCUGAGUAAGAAGCCCCGGCUAACUACGUGCCAGCAGCCGCGGUAAUACGUAGGGGGCAAGCGUUAUCCGGAUUUACUGGGUGUAAAGGGAGCGUAGACGGCGAUACAAGUCUGAAGUGAAAGCCCGGGGCUCAACCCCGGGACUGCUUUGGAAACUGUGUUGCUGGAGUGCUGGAGAGGCAAGCGGAAUUCCUAGUGUAGCGGUGAAAUGCGUAGAUAUUAGGAAGAACACCAGUGGCGAAGGCGGCUUGCUGGACAGUAACUGACGUUGAGGCUCGAAAGCGUGGGGAGCAAACAGGAUUAGAUACCCCUGUAGUA
RNAcentral lists this ribosomal RNA (449 nucleotides) under uncultured bacterium. Its description in RNAcentral is "bacterial SSU rRNA". It matches the Rfam family "Bacterial small subunit ribosomal RNA", at positions 329 to 795 of the family's 1533-position model. The record is from RNAcentral.